GGCGGGAACAGACGGCCCCGUGAAACGGGCCGCCCCCGCCAGAGGACCCCUAACUCUGUUUCUAUAAUGUUUCUUCUGAGUAAAACAAGCAAAUAAAUUAAAACUUUCAACAACGGAUCUCUUGGCUCUGGCAUCGAUGAAGAACGCAGCGAAAUGCGAUAAGUAAUGUGAAUUGCAGAAUUCAGUGAAUCAUCGAAUCUUUGAACGCACAUUGCGCCCGCCAGUAUUCUGGCGGGCAUGCCUGUUCGAGCGUCAUUACAACCCUCAGGCCCCCGGGCCUGGCGUUGGGGAUCGGCGGAGCCCCCCGUGGGCACACGCCGUCUCCCAAAUACAGUGGCGGUCCCGCCGCAGCUUCCAUCGCGUAGUAGCUAACACCUCGCGACUGGAGAGCGGCGCGGCCACGCCGUAAAAC
This 412-nucleotide unclassified non-coding RNA is filed under the name Fusarium sp. 3 RJ2014. RNAcentral describes it as "sequence contains 18S rRNA gene, ITS1, 5.8S rRNA gene, ITS2, 28S rRNA gene". The stretch from base 102 to 255 matches the Rfam family "5.8S ribosomal RNA". Lineage: Eukaryota; Fungi; Ascomycota; Sordariomycetes; Hypocreales; Nectriaceae. The record is from RNAcentral.